GAUGAAGAACGUAGCGAAAUGCGAUAAGUAAUGCGAAUUGCAGAAUUCAGUGAGUCAUCGAAUCUUUGAACGCACAUUGCGCCCUGUGGUAUUCCGCAGGGCAUGCCUGUUCGAGCGUCAUUUCAACCCUCAAGCCCCGCUUGGUGUUGGGCCCCGCCCGCUGUGGCCGGCCCUAAAGACAGUGGCGGCGCCGCCUGGCCCUCAGCGUAGUACAUCUCUAGCUCCAGGGUCCGGUGGCCGCCUGCCAGAACCCCCCAACUCUGUGGUUGACCUCGGAUCAGGUAGGGAUACCCGCUGAACUUAAGCAUAUCAAUAAGCGGAGGA
Molecule: unclassified non-coding RNA, 324 nt
Filed under: soil metagenome
Description: partial contains 5.8S ribosomal RNA, internal transcribed spacer 2, and large subunit ribosomal RNA
Rfam family: 5.8S ribosomal RNA (bases 1-120)
Source: RNAcentral